GCAUUGGUGGUUCAGUGGUAGAAUUCUCACCUUCCACGUGGGAGACCCAGGUUCGAUUCCUGGCCAGUGCA
This 71-nucleotide transfer RNA is filed under the name Trichechus manatus latirostris (Florida manatee). RNAcentral describes it as "tRNA-Gly (TCC) (tRNA-Gly-TCC-13-1)". It matches the Rfam family "tRNA". Rfam says of the family: Transfer RNA (tRNA) molecules are approximately 80 nucleotides in length. Their secondary structure includes four short double-helical elements and three loops (D, anti-codon, and T loops). The record is from Rfam by way of RNAcentral. Lineage: Eukaryota; Metazoa; Chordata; Mammalia; Sirenia; Trichechidae.